GAACAUUACCAGUUUUUCUCUCUAUCAACUUGCUCGAACUCAAUGCUCUUGUCUACUAUCCUGUUAUUCCCUUUUGCAGUUCGGUAACGGGAGAGUGAAAUCCACAUUUGAUUGUGCACCAUCCUCCACAACAGUAAAGAUAAAUGCAAGAAGAGAAGAAAACCACCUUGUAGUCCCCAAGCCAUGUCCAAGGCCACUCAGUGAGAAUCCCUGGUUUGCUGGCCAUUUUUCCUCAACCGGUCAGAUUUCUUCUCCAACUUAAAGUUUUGGCACAAUGAGCAUUACAUAUAUAUAACAAAAUAAUGGUGUUACUAAUGGUAUACUAGCUUAAUCACAUUUAAGUCCAGCCCAUCUAAUACCUACCUGGGGUGGGCAGCUGUCUUACUAUAUGCCUGGUCUCCUAAAUUAGCACUUGGACAAACAUAGAAAAAUUUGGCGACCUAAUAUUAGAUGUAUAAUUGUUACAAAGUGUGAUAAUGUAGCAUGGUGUGUUUUUCCUGUGGAUAACUGUGGAGCAUUUAUGAGUUUCACCAGCCCAAAUUGAUGAGUGUCGGCUUACAAUGUCAACAGUAGGCUACAGUUAUGGUUGGGCAUUCACAUCCAAGUUCAGGCAAAGAUUUCUGAUCUCUUGCUGCUUCCUUCGUUUCUCCUUUCCAAUUUGACAUAAGCUGCACCCAAUUGACAAACUGCCUGCAUUUCUCCUGUGCCCCCUUAAUUGUUUUUAAUAUUAAUUGACCUUAGUAUUUAGAGUUGGCUAAUGGUGUCCCUAGAUAAUAGAUCACUACUUGUGAAUCAUACAUCAUAAUCAAUUCUUGCAACAAAUUAGUGAUAUCAGACACUGCUUAAGGGAGUCUUAGUCACACAUUUUAUCAUAAUUGAUACAUGUAAUUAUGUAAUUGAAGUGGUGUGAUUUUAUCCAAUCUUGACUUUUUUUGCAA
Salvia splendens (bonfire salvia) is the source of this 938-nucleotide long non-coding RNA. RefSeq lists it as uncharacterized. The record is from RefSeq and is a predicted model, not a curated record. Lineage: Eukaryota; Viridiplantae; Streptophyta; Magnoliopsida; Lamiales; Lamiaceae. The transcript has 2 exons.